AUUGAACGCUGGCGGCAUGCCUUACACAUGCAAGUCGAACGGCAGCACGGGAGCAAUCCUGGUGGCGAGUGGCGAACGGGUGAGUAAAGUAUCGGAACGUGCCCAGUCGUGGGGGAUAACGUAGCGAAAGUUACGCUAAUACCGCAUACGCACUAUGGAUGAAAGCGGGGGAUGGCAAGCACUUGCGCGAUUGGAGCGGCCGAUAUCAGAUUAGGUAGUUGGUGGGGUAAAGGCUCACCAAGCUGACGACAGGUAGCUGGUCUGAGAGGACGACCAGCCACACUGGGACUGGGACACGGCCCAGACUCCUACGGGAGGCAGCAGUGGGGAAUUGUGGACAAUGGGCGAAAGCCGGAUCCAGCCAUGCCGCGUGCAGGAUGAAGGCCUUCGGGUUGUAAACUGCUUUUGUACGGAACGAAAAGGUUUGGCCUAAUAAGCUGAGCUCAUGACGGUACCGUAAGAAUAAGCACCGGCUAACUACGUGCCAGCAGCCGCGGUAA
RNAcentral lists this ribosomal RNA (500 nucleotides) under uncultured bacterium. Its description in RNAcentral is "partial 16S ribosomal RNA". It matches the Rfam family "Bacterial small subunit ribosomal RNA", at positions 29 to 523 of the family's 1533-position model. The record is from RNAcentral.